AAAUAGAACUUUGCAGAGAGAGUUAAGAGGGCGUGAACCGUUAAUUGGCAAACGAAUCGGAGCCACGAAGUCGUUUCGUAGUAUGAGCCUGGGCUGAGUUCAGCUUAAAUUGGGUGCGAGAGCAUUUAGUUUGGGUGUAUUCUCGUGUCUGGCCAACUUUGUAAGCGUACACUGCAACCAGUUAGACGAUUGGUGAUGGGCACAGUUUGCUAUGCGACUUCGGUUGUGUAGUAGACGAAGCAUUGUUUGUGCAAGUUAGUAGUAGCGUUUUAGUUCUUUCGGGUUCUAUGGUGUUGCUGGAUUUGUGCAAGUGAACUAUGAACCAAAUACUGACUGGCAAAAUGAAAAUCGCUUCGGCGUUGUAUAAAAUGCAACUUGUUGCAUUUAGGCCUACACUUGCUGGCCAUGUAGUCUUUAAGCUUGGUAUUUUUGAAUUUAGACUUGCCAGCUACCAGUGGGGCAACUCCUGGUGCUGGUAUAGCUUCUAUCUAAUCGGAUGCCGACUUGGCUGUAUGUUGUCUGGUGGUGCUACGAUAGGGUUUAAAUGUAAGCGAGUUUGCUAGAAUUGGCAGUGAGUAGGUCGGCUUUCCGAACGACCCGUCUUGAAACACGGACCAAGGAGUCUAAUUAGGCAUCGAGUCGAUCGGUCUUGAUAGGCCAGAAUGAGGGAGUUUUCUUCUCUCCGAAUGAAGGCGUAGAGAAAUCAAAUCAUGUGAUCGUUUGUGACUACACCAGUUUGAACGCGCAACAUGUGCCUGUUCUCAAGGAAAUGUUAGCAAUAACUUUCCGAGCGGAGCAAAGAGAUGCCUGAUUGGUACCCGAAAGAUGGUGAACUAUGCCUGGGCAAAUUGAAGCCAGAGGAAACUCUGGUGGAGGAUUGUAGCGAUUCUGACGUGCAAAUCGAUCGUCAGACCUGGGUAUAGGGGCGAAAGACUAAUCGAACCAUC
Molecule: ribosomal RNA, 947 nt
Filed under: Glossilus sp. 28sd2-5r40
Lineage: Eukaryota; Metazoa; Arthropoda; Arachnida; Trombidiformes; Eriophyidae
Description: partial 28S ribosomal RNA
Rfam family: Eukaryotic large subunit ribosomal RNA
Source: RNAcentral